RNAcentral lists this ribosomal RNA (497 nucleotides) under uncultured bacterium. RNAcentral's name for it is "partial 16S ribosomal RNA". It matches the Rfam family "Bacterial small subunit ribosomal RNA", at positions 28 to 507 of the family's 1533-position model. The record is from RNAcentral.
GAUGAACGCUGGCGGCGUGCCUAAUACAUGCAAGUCGAGCGAACAGACGAUGAGCUUGCUCCUCUGACGUUAGCGGCGGACGGGUGAGUAACACGUGGAUCACCUACCUAUCUGACUGGUAUAACUUCGGGAAACCGGAUCUAAUACCGUAUAAUAUAUUGAACCGCAUGGUUCAAUAGUGAAAGACGGUUUUGCUGUCACUUAUAGCUGGAUCCGCGCCGCAUUAGCUAGUUGGUAAGGUAACGGCUUACCAAGGCAACGAUGCGUAGCCGACCUGAGAGGGGGAUCGGCCACACUGGAACUGAGACACGGUCAAGACUCCUACGGGAGGCAGCAGUAGGGAAUCUUACGCAAUGGGCGAAAGCAUGACGGAGCAACGCCGCGUGAGUGAUGAAGGUCUUCGGAUCGUAAAACUCUGUUAUGAGGGAAGAACAAAUGUGUAAGUAAAUAUGCACGUCUUGACGGUAACUAAUCAGAAAGCCACGGCUAACUACGUG